Molecule: ribosomal RNA, 253 nt
Filed under: uncultured bacterium
Lineage: Bacteria
Description: partial 16S ribosomal RNA
Rfam family: Bacterial small subunit ribosomal RNA
Source: RNAcentral
UACAGAGGUGGCAAGCGUUGUUCGGAUUUACUGGGCGUAAAGAGCGCGCAGGCGGUCGUUCAAGUCGAGUGUGAAAGCCCCCGGCUCAACUGGGGAGGGUCACUCGAUACUGAUCGACUCGAAGGCAGGAGAGGGUAGUGGAAUUCCCGGUGUAGUGGUGAAAUGCGUAGAUAUCGGGAGGAACACCAGUGGCGAAGGCGACUACCUGGCCUGUUCUUGACGCUGAGGCGCGAAAGCUAGGGGAGCAAACGGG